AAAGGGAGACCUAAUUCAGGUAAAAGACGAAAAAAAAGUAGUCGCUACCAAGAAUCAAUCCCAAAAGGUCGAAGCGAGGCGAAAUUGGCUUUCAAACUAGGUUCUGGGUUCAAACAAGACCUGAAUCAGGAACAAGGGCUAUUAGCUCAGGUGGUUAGAGCGCACCCCUGAUAAGGGUGAGGUCCCUGGUUCGAGUCCAGGAUGGCCCACCUGCACAGGUGGCAAAAACAAGAGAAGCGAGGAAUCAGCACCUUAUCUUACUUAUAUAGUAAGAGAGAAUGCUGGCUCUGAGUAAAGAGUCCAGAGGAACCUUGAAAACUGCAUAGAGCUAGGUGAAAAAGCCAAAAAAGAAGACCGCAAG
This 361-nucleotide transfer RNA is filed under the name uncultured Microcystis sp. Its description in RNAcentral is "partial 16S-23S ribosomal RNA intergenic spacer". The stretch from base 136 to 209 matches the Rfam family "tRNA". Lineage: Bacteria; Bacillati; Cyanobacteriota; Cyanophyceae; Chroococcales; Microcystaceae. The record is from RNAcentral.